Molecule: non-coding RNA, 156 nt
Filed under: Xanthobacter tagetidis
Lineage: Bacteria; Pseudomonadati; Pseudomonadota; Alphaproteobacteria; Hyphomicrobiales; Xanthobacteraceae
Description: 6S / SsrS RNA
Rfam family: 6S / SsrS RNA
About the family: E. coli 6S RNA was the first non coding RNA to be sequenced, but its function was unknown until recently.
Source: Rfam by way of RNAcentral
GCGGGGCUGUGGGGUACGUCUGGAGACAAUAUCCCCGGGGCCUUAUCGAUCCUGAAGGGAGCUGUCCCUGACCUUGCCCCUGGGCUCGGACACACGGCGCCCACCUACUUUGUAGGUUUCCCGGGAUCGCACUCCGACGGCUUUCGCGGCUCCGCA